RNAcentral lists this ribosomal RNA (800 nucleotides) under Linnemannia gamsii. RNAcentral describes it as "LSU rRNA". It matches the Rfam family "Eukaryotic large subunit ribosomal RNA", at positions 100 to 761 of the family's 3401-position model. Lineage: Eukaryota; Fungi; Mortierellomycota; Mortierellomycetes; Mortierellales; Mortierellaceae. The record is from RNAcentral.
GGGAUGAGCUCAAAUUUAAAAUCUGGCUGGUUUACUAGUCCGAAUUGUAGUUUAUAGAAGCGUUUUCGGUGGCAGCCUGGGUAUAAAUCCUUUGGAAUAGGGUAUCAUAGAGGGUGAGAAUCCCGUCUUUGACUCAGUGCAUGCUACUAUGUGAUACGUUUUCAAAGAGUCGAGUUGUUUGGGAAUGCAGCUCAAAAUGGGUGGUAAAUUUCAUCUAAGGCUAAAUAUUGGCGAGAGACCGAUAGCGAACAAGUACCGUGAGGGAAAGAUGAAAAGAACUUUGAAAAGAGAGUUAAACAGUGCGUGAAAUUGUUGAAAGGGAAACGCUUGACACCAGUUAUGCGGGUGGAAAAUCAGUCUUUUGCAAUGGGGAGUUGUGGGCGUUCAGACCGCAAGGCUGGCGUUUGCUUCAUCUUUGUUGUAAGUGAUGCACUUUUUCAUUUGCAGGUCAACAUCAGUUUGCUUUGCUGGACAAAACCCCAAGGGAAGGUGACAGCUUAGGCUGUGUUAUAGCCCUGGGGCGAUACAGUGGAGUGGACUGAGGUUUCGCAGUGUGUGCUCUCGGGCAAGGCUGACUGGGUGCUAUGGGAUCGUUCGGCGUACAAUGCAUGCAUUUUGCGUCGUGUCUUUUUCAUACUCGCUCAACUCGGCUCUUCCACGCUUAGGAUGUUGACUUAAUGGUUUUAAUCGACCCGUCUUGAAACACGGACCAAGGAGUCUAACAUAUAUGCAAGUGUUUGGGUGGCAAACCCAUGCGCGUAAUGAAAGUGAACGUAGGUGCCAUCCGCAAGGUGCAGCAU